RNAcentral lists this microRNA (23 nucleotides) under Haemonchus contortus (barber pole worm). RNAcentral describes it as "hco-miR-5964". Lineage: Eukaryota; Metazoa; Nematoda; Chromadorea; Rhabditida; Trichostrongylidae. The record is from miRBase by way of RNAcentral.
CUUUCAACUCUCGACUGUCCGAA